GACGUAGGGUGCAAGCGUUGUCCGGAUUUAUUGGGCGUAAAGAGCUCGUAGGCGGCUUGUUGCGUCGACUGUGAAAACCCGCGGCUUAACCGCGGGCUUGCAGUCGAUACGGGCAGGCUAGAGUUCGGUAGGGGAGACUGGAAUUCCUGGUGUAGCGGUGAAAUGCGCAGAUAUCAGGAGGAACACCGGUGGCGAAGGCGGUUCUCUGGGCAUGUCCUGACGCUGAGGAGCGAAAGUGUGGGGAGCGAACAGG
RNAcentral lists this ribosomal RNA (253 nucleotides) under uncultured bacterium. RNAcentral describes it as "partial 16S ribosomal RNA". It matches the Rfam family "Bacterial small subunit ribosomal RNA", at positions 524 to 776 of the family's 1533-position model. The record is from RNAcentral.